This is a non-coding RNA of Dermatophagoides farinae (American house dust mite), 485 nucleotides long. NCBI's taxonomy places the organism in Eukaryota, Metazoa, Arthropoda, Arachnida, Sarcoptiformes, Pyroglyphidae. The record is from RefSeq and is a predicted model, not a curated record.
UCGAUUGUUUCAUCAUUUCAUUCGUGGAUCAAAAAAAAAGGUCCGCUAUUACGAAGAAAAGUUUGAUCGAAAAUUUAUGUGGCUCAACAAACAUAAUAAAAUAGCAGAUUGAAUUUUUAUAAAAUGGCAUUGAUCAACGUUCUUCAUUGAAUAUGAAAUGAAUGUAAAUACAUUUGAAACGAAUUGACGAAAAGCAAAUAAAAUGUGAAAAAGCCAACGUUUCACAAUCAUCAAAAAUAAUCGUCUAUAUCGUUCAUGUGGAUGGCUCUCAUAUUUUUCAACGAUUAUUAACUGUAUUAUCUGUCGAUGGUUGCUUCAAUGUUUUUUUUUCUUUGACUACAGAGAUAUUACGACGACGACGACGACGAAAAUACGGACUUUUUUUCACUGUGUGUCUGUUUGUGUGUGUGUGUGUAUGUAAUUUCAUCGGACACUUAAAUCCACACAUUGAUCAUUGCCGCUGCUGUUGCUCUUCACUUGUUUUU